AAAUCCUUCACUUUUUUUUAAUUAUAUUUUCAUCGUAAGGCCAAUAGGCUUCCAUGGAUGUUGCUUGUACGGAUUUCUAUCUUCUUCCCUUGUUAGACUACCGUCUUUGAUAUCUCUUCCUUUUUUCGCUCCUAUCCCGUGAAGCGAUUACGUUCUUAUAUAGCUUUAUCCUAUAGUGCCGGAGUUGGUGACGAUGAAGACGACUGUGAUAGGUGUCCAACUCUAGAAGAAUCGAUUUUGAUGGGCGUACUUGUAAAAGGGAUUUCAUGGGGUUACAGUUAAAUCAGAUUCUCCUGUUCCCAUUUACAAAAUUUAGGAGGAAGAAACGAACAAAAACCAGAGCAAACCCGCCUUCUUCUUCUUCUUCUUCUUCUUCUUCUUCUUCAGGUAAAAGGGUUGUUUCCAGUGGUGGCUUUUGCGGCGGCUUUUGUUGCACGCGACCGCGUACUUUGGAAUCAGCUGAUGAGUCCAAACCCAACGACCCCAAUGAUCCAGCCUUCACUCAUCAGAUGGUUAGAACCUUGAUUGAGAAGAAUCAUUUCUACUCCGAAGAAUGCAAUCCCCAUUCAGAUUAGUAUCCGAUACAUCAUUGAUUUGAGAUUCUUUCUGUUUUUGUCACUUGCUGUGUGAUUUUGGUUAUGGGCAUGAUUUCCGCAAGGGUACUCAUGUUUCUGAUUAAUUGCAAGUUUUCCUUGGAUUCGAUCAUUAUGUUCUUGCAAUUGCAAAUAAUAAUCAGCCGAUAAUUUGGCACUUUGAUCGCAUUUUAAUUUCUGGAAAUACAACAAAUUUAGCUUCCCUUCUCUUGCUAGUUAUGUCUGAGUACACGAGUCGCUUAAAUUUUGAGCCAUUGCAUAUGUGACAAAUUAACCUAGCUGCAUUUUGAGUCACCUUACUGCCUUUACCAAUUAAGCAUUGCGAACAGGUUUAGGAUAUUUGAAAUGAUUUGUUUCACAUUGUUCUAUUGGUAAAGUGACGAUGAACAGAAAUAGAAAGGGUGCCCGAGUAAUCGAUGAUGCAAGGUUUAUGACAGAGACCUUUAUGGUGAUAGGUUAGACUUCAGCAGGUUCUUAGCUAUUUUCUUGUUGAUACCAUGUGGUUUUACCUCAAGAAUGUGGAGAAUAUACUCACAGCAAUUUAAGAAUAUCGUUUCACAUUUUUUAUCGAGUUCAUCGGUAAUGAACUAGUAUAUGCACAUAUAUAUGUUUGUAUUGUAUCCAUUCCUUUGUUUAAGGCGCAAGUGAACUCUUAUGAAGCUAAAAGUAAGGGUCAUUUCUUACAUAUCUGGGAUCAGGAUAAGGCUUGAAGGUGGUGGGGUACCUGAGGCAUUGCUGAACUAAAUGUUUGGAAAUGAUUUAGAUGUAUAAGAGGAUGUAUCAACUUUCAUCAUGGUUGUUGCACUUGCUGCACAAAUACGCCCGUUCUUCCAUGGCUGCGAUUGAGCUGAACUUUGGUCAUGAACAAGUGCUUAUCUUCACAUAUGGCCUCUAUAAAGCAUCACUAAGAGCUGAUGGGUGGUAACGCAUAUUUGCACAAUAUGUCAUGCGAGGACUUUAUUGUAUUAGCCAAAAAUGCAUUGACCGUGCGGCUGACAUAAUGGAUUCGGAUGUGGGUGUUGUCAUCCAGCAGCCGUUUUGCUUCUACCAGGUAGAUCAAGGCGACGAUGCACUAAGUAGUGCACAAGAUUAAUAGAAUCAAUUCUGACAAUUACUCGAGGAGCUCAUUCGAUUCGACUGCUAAUUGAAUACCUGCUGUAAGAGCUUGUGCCUCAGUGAUACUUGCAUCACCCCACCCAGCAAGUGGCAGCCGUUUUUGGCUCUGAGAGGGUCUCACAAUGCUGCCUUCAUGGGAAGUUAGGCAUGGAACCCACAAUGCUGCCUUCAUGGGAAGUUAGGCAUGGAACCCAAAACAACCUCUUGAUGGAUCAAAUAUGAUAUGGGGGAAUGCAGAAGGUACAGUUUAUGAGUUUAGUCAAAUUGAAUGUGGUCUAUAUGCUUUCUUGUAAGCGGAAGCUGCUCUAGUUUUGUGCAAAAUGUCGAGGUCGAUGAUUCAUGAAUGAGAUCAUCGCUAUUUUCCAACUGUUCAAGGGAUCGACUCGGGAGUAGGUUCAGAACUAGAUAUUUAGUUGGGGUUGAUUAUCGAAAGUAUUUUAAUAAUAAUUAUAUGUUAUGUAAUUUCAUGAAAU
Molecule: long non-coding RNA, 2182 nt
Organism: Hibiscus syriacus
Lineage: Eukaryota; Viridiplantae; Streptophyta; Magnoliopsida; Malvales; Malvaceae
Exons: 3
Source: RefSeq, a predicted model, not a curated record